UACAGAGGUGGCAAGCGUGGUUCGGCCUUCCUUUUCUUCCCUUUCUCUUAUUCUUCCCUUCAAUUCCCUUUUGAAAGCCCCCGGCUCAACCGGGGAACGGCGCGGGAAACUAGCAGGCUUGAGUUCGGGAGAGGGAAGCGGAAUUCCGGGUGUAGCGGUGAAAUGCGCAGAUAUCCGGAGGAACACCGGUGGCGAAGGCGGCUUCCUGGACCGACACUGACGCUGAGGCGCGAAAGCUAGGGGAGCAAACGGG
This 253-nucleotide ribosomal RNA is filed under the name uncultured bacterium. Its description in RNAcentral is "partial 16S ribosomal RNA". It matches the Rfam family "Bacterial small subunit ribosomal RNA", at positions 524 to 776 of the family's 1533-position model. The record is from RNAcentral.